This 512-nucleotide ribosomal RNA is filed under the name Staphylococcus aureus. Its description in RNAcentral is "partial 23S ribosomal RNA". It matches the Rfam family "Bacterial large subunit ribosomal RNA", at positions 2411 to 2925 of the family's 2925-position model. Lineage: Bacteria; Bacillati; Bacillota; Bacilli; Caryophanales; Staphylococcaceae. The record is from RNAcentral.
CUUAGUGAUCCGGUGGUUCCGCAUGGAAGGGCCAUCGCUCAACGGAUAAAAGCUACCCCGGGGAUAACAGGCUUAUCUCCCCCAAGAGUUCACAUCGACGGGGAGGUUUGGCACCUCGAUGUCGGCUCAUCGCAUCCUGGGGCUGUAGUCGGUCCCAAGGGUUGGGCUGUUCGCCCAUUAAAGCGGUACGCGAGCUGGGUUCAGAACGUCGUGAGACAGUUCGGUCCCUAUCCGUCGUGGGCGUAGGAAAUUUGAGAGGAGCUGUCCUUAGUACGAGAGGACCGGGAUGGACAUACCUCUGGUGUACCAGUUGUCGUGCCAACGGCAUAGCUGGGUAGCUAUGUGUGGACGGGAUAAGUGCUGAAAGCAUCUAAGCAUGAAGCCCCCCUCAAGAUGAGAUUUCCCAACUUCGGUUAUAAGAUCCCUCAAAGAUGAUGAGGUUAAUAGGUUCGAGGUGGAAGCAUGGUGACAUGUGGAGCUGACGAAUACUAAUCGAUCGAAGACUUAAUCAA